GGUGAAAAGCACCCCGGAAGGGGAGUGAAAUAGAACCUGAAACCGUGUGCUUACAAGUAGUCAGAGCCCGUUAAUGGGUGAUGGCGUGCCUUUUGUAGAAUGAACCGGCGAGUUACGAUUUGAUGCAAGGUUAAGCAGUAAAUGUGGAGCCGUAGCGAAAGCGAGUCUGAAUAGGGCGUUUAGUAUUUGGUCGUAGACCCGAAACCAGGUGAUCUACCCUUGGUCAGGUUGAAGUUCAGGUAACACUGAAUGGAGGACCGAACCGACUUACGUUGAAAAGUGAGCGGAUGAACUGAGGGUAGCGGAGAAAUUCCAAUCGAACCUGGAGAUAGCUGGUUCUCUCCGAAAUAGCUUUAGGGCUAGCCUCAAGUGAUGAUUAUUGGAGGUAGAGCACUGUUUGGACGAGGGGCCCCUCUCGGGUUACCGAAUUCAGACAAACUCCGAAUGCCAAUUAAUUUAACUUGGGAGUCAGAACAUGGGUGAUAAGGUCCGUGUUCGAAAGGGAAACAGCCCAGACCACCAGCUAAGGUCCCAAAAUAUAUGUUAAGUGGAAAAGGAUGUGGCGUUGCCCAGACAACUAGGAUGUUGGCUUAGAAGCAGCCAUCAUUUAAAGAGUGCGUAAUAGCUCACUAGUCGAGUGACACUGCGCCGAAAAUGUACCGGGGCUAAACAUAUUACCGAAGCUGUGGAUUGUCCUUUGGACAAUGGUAGGAGAGCGUUCUAAGGGCGUUGAAGCAUGAUCGUAAGGACAUGUGGAGCGCUUAGAAGUGAGAAUGCCGGUGUGAGUAGCGAAAGACGGGUGAGAAUCCCGUCCACCGAUUGACUAAGGUUUCCAGAGGAAGGCUCGUCCGCUCUGGGUUAGUCGGGUCCUAAGCUGAGGCCGACAGGCGUAGGCGAUGGAUAACAGGUUGAUAUUCCUGUACCACCUAUAAUCGUUUUAAUCGAUGGGGGGACGCAGUAGGAUAGGCGAAGCGUGCGAUUGGAUUGCACGUCUAAGCAGUAAGGCUGAGUAUUAGGCAAAUCCGGUACUCAUUAAGGCUGAGCUGUGAUGGGGAGAAGACAUUGUGUCUUCGAGUCGUUGAUUUCACACUGCCGAGAAAAGCCUCUAGAUAGAAAAUAGGUGCCCGUACCGCAAACCGACACAGGUAGUCAAGAUGAGAAUUCUAAGGUGAGCGAGCGAACUCUCGUUAAGGAACUCGGCAAAAUGACCCCGUAACUUCGGGAGAAGGGGUGCUCUUUAGGGUUAACGCCCAGAAGAGCCGCAGUGAAUAGGC
RNAcentral lists this ribosomal RNA (1274 nucleotides) under Staphylococcus aureus. RNAcentral describes it as "partial 23S ribosomal RNA". It matches the Rfam family "Bacterial large subunit ribosomal RNA", at positions 513 to 1791 of the family's 2925-position model. Lineage: Bacteria; Bacillati; Bacillota; Bacilli; Caryophanales; Staphylococcaceae. The record is from RNAcentral.